AUGAUCCCCGCGGAAGAGACCGGACCACGAGUCCGGCGCCGAAGGCGCAACCGCCCCGGAAACGCUCAGGCCAAAGGACCGCGCGGGAGCU
This 91-nucleotide non-coding RNA is filed under the name Microvirga aerilata. RNAcentral describes it as "Glycine sequence". It matches the Rfam family "Glycine riboswitch aptamer". Rfam says of the family: This family represents the bacterial glycine riboswitch. RNAcentral also lists the same sequence under 1 other name. Lineage: Bacteria; Pseudomonadati; Pseudomonadota; Alphaproteobacteria; Hyphomicrobiales; Methylobacteriaceae. The record is from RNAcentral.